GGUAGGACUACCCGCUGAACUUAAGCAUAUCAU
This 33-nucleotide ribosomal RNA is filed under the name Ganoderma lucidum. Its description in RNAcentral is "partial 28S ribosomal RNA". Lineage: Eukaryota; Fungi; Basidiomycota; Agaricomycetes; Polyporales; Polyporaceae. RNAcentral also lists the same sequence under 10 other names. The record is from RNAcentral.